Molecule: ribosomal RNA, 497 nt
Filed under: uncultured bacterium
Lineage: Bacteria
Description: partial 16S ribosomal RNA
Rfam family: Bacterial small subunit ribosomal RNA
Source: RNAcentral
GAUGAACGCUGGCGGCGUGCCUAAUACAUGCAAGUCGAGCGAACAGAUAAGGAGCUUGCUCCUUUGACGUUAGCGGCGGACGGGUGAGUAACACGUGGGUAACCUACCUAUAAGACUGGGAUAACUUCGGGAAACCGGAGCUAAUACCGGAUAACAUUUGGAACCGCAUGGUUCUAAAGUGAAAGAUGGUUUUGCUAUCACUUAUAGAUGGACCCGCGCCGUAUUAGCUAGUUGGUAAGGUAACGGCUUACCAAGGCGACGAUACGUAGCCGACCUGAGAGGGUGAUCGGCCACACUGGAACUGAGACACGGUCCAGACUCCUACGGGAGGCAGCAGUAGGGAAUCUUCCGCAAUGGGCGAAAGCCUGACGGAGCAACGCCGCGUGAGUGAUGAAGUGUUUCGGCUCGUAAAACUCUGUUAUUAGGGAAGAACAAAUGUGUAAGUAACUGUGCACGUCUUGACGGUACCUAAUCAGAAAGCCACGGCUAACUACGUG